Cajanus cajan (pigeon pea) is the source of this 75-nucleotide small nucleolar RNA. It matches the Rfam family "Small nucleolar RNA snoR60". From Rfam's summary of the family: snoR60 is a member of the C/D class of snoRNA which contain the C (UGAUGA) and D (CUGA) box motifs. Most of the members of the box C/D family function in directing site-specific 2'-O-methylation of substrate RNAs. Lineage: Eukaryota; Viridiplantae; Streptophyta; Magnoliopsida; Fabales; Fabaceae. The record is from Rfam.
AUGUAUAUGAUGAGUUACUCGGAUUCCCCUUCAAGACAUCAUAGACGGAUGAUGCAGACCCGAGUUUCUGAUGCA